RNAcentral lists this ribosomal RNA (309 nucleotides) under Triticum aestivum (bread wheat). RNAcentral describes it as "partial small subunit ribosomal RNA". Lineage: Eukaryota; Viridiplantae; Streptophyta; Magnoliopsida; Poales; Poaceae. The record is from RNAcentral.
AACAUCGAUGUGAAAAGAUGCAAAGUUGAUAAUGAUAGUGCAACAUAUUUAUGGCACUGCCAUUUAGGUCAUAUUGGUUUAAAGCGCAUGAAGAAACUCCAUGCUGAUCGGCUUUUGGAAUCACUUGAUUAUGAAUCGUUUGAUACUUGCGAACCAUGCCUCAUGGGCAAGAUGACUAAAACUCCGUUCUCCGGAACAAUGGAGCGAGCCAAUGACUUGUUGGAAAUAAUACAUACUGAUGUAUGCGGUCCUAUGAGUGUUGAGACUCGCGGCGGGUAUCGUUAUUUUCUGACCUUCAUAGAUGAUUUG